AAAAGCAGCUUUUUACAUGUAGUAAUGGUAGGGGAAGAAUUAUGGUUAAAAACCAAGUUGUUUAAAGCCAACAUUGAUCCACUCUCCAUACCUUCAUAACUUUGAAGACAAAAGGAAAAUAUUUGACAAAACCAGCUAUUGUUUCAUGUCAUCUGUAUCUUAAUCUGUCUCUUUGUCUCACUUCGAGCCAUCAUUGCAACUGAUUUU
RNAcentral lists this long non-coding RNA (207 nucleotides) under Gossypium barbadense (sea-island cotton). Its description in RNAcentral is "long non-coding RNA (GBAR_LNC012087)". The record is from RNAcentral. Lineage: Eukaryota; Viridiplantae; Streptophyta; Magnoliopsida; Malvales; Malvaceae.